UACGUAGGGUGCAAGCGUUGUCCGGAAUUAUUGGGCGUAAAGAGCUCGUAGGCGGUUUGUCGCGUCUGCUGUGAAAACUCGGGGCUUAACUCCGGGCCUGCAGUGGGUACGGGCAGACUAGAGUGCGGUAGGGGAGACUGGAAUUCCUGGUGUAGCGGUGAAAUGCGCAGAUAUCUGGAGGAACACCGGUGGCGAAGGCGGCAUCCUGGACCGAGAUUGACGCUGAGGCGCGAAAGCCAGGGGAGCAAACGGG
RNAcentral lists this ribosomal RNA (253 nucleotides) under uncultured bacterium. Its description in RNAcentral is "partial 16S ribosomal RNA". It matches the Rfam family "Bacterial small subunit ribosomal RNA", at positions 524 to 776 of the family's 1533-position model. The record is from RNAcentral.